This 147-nucleotide ribosomal RNA is filed under the name Actinomycetota bacterium. Its description in RNAcentral is "Actinobacteria bacterium partial 16S ribosomal RNA". It matches the Rfam family "Bacterial small subunit ribosomal RNA", at positions 1 to 147 of the family's 1533-position model. Lineage: Bacteria; Bacillati; Actinomycetota. The record is from RNAcentral.
UUCUAUGGAGAGUUUGAUCCUGGCUCAGGACGAACGCUGGCGGCGUGCUUAACACAUGCAAGUCGAGCGAUGAAGUUUCUUCGGAAAUGGAUUAGCGGCGAACGGGUGAGGAACACGUGAAGAAUCUGCCCUCCACUUUGGGAUAAC